UACAUACCCUGUUCGCAAAAU
Molecule: non-coding RNA, 21 nt
Filed under: Caenorhabditis elegans
Lineage: Eukaryota; Metazoa; Nematoda; Chromadorea; Rhabditida; Rhabditidae
Source: RNAcentral